CAGCCAAGGGGGAAGGAGCUCUCCCAGAACAAGCAGAGGGGAGAGGCCAAACUGCAACUGCAGGGUGCUGUUUGGUAGAGGAUGGUCCACAUAUACAGACAUCUCAAAUAUUUAUGCUGGGAAAUAAUGCUUAUGGAAAAGACAGACAACCUCCUGUGAUUACUUGAGGAGUUUUGCCUGCAUCUAGUUUGUGCAGAGAGACUGGAAGAAAAACAUCUGAGUACCUCUGAGUGUGUUCAGGGCUGCGUGGGCUGGACUGAGGACCAAGGAACUACUUAACCUCUUUGAAGGGACAGAGAACCUCUGACUGGUUGACCUUUUCCCCAAUAAAUGCCUUGCCUAAACAGACUGUUUGCCGUGCUGUUUGGAAUGGGAGCUGUACUAGUACCCCAACUGGAGAUGAAGUCCCUCUCUCAGAAGAGGAAUUGUAUGCUUGCUUCUUGAGUCAGGGCCAUGGACAACCAGAAGGUGAGGGACUGAAAAACCAGAAUAUGAUCCUCAGAGUAUGGAAGGAGUCUGAGCUCUCCUACAUCUGGGCUGUCUUGUUGGGGUACUCUGAGACCAGACAAGGCCACAGCA
Long non-coding RNA from Alligator mississippiensis (American alligator), 579 nucleotides. RefSeq lists it as uncharacterized. NCBI's taxonomy places the organism in Eukaryota, Metazoa, Chordata, Crocodylia, Alligatoridae. The transcript is spliced from 3 exons. The record is from RefSeq and is a predicted model, not a curated record.